CAGAGAAGGGACAAAAAGGAGAGACAGAAAUGGAGAGAUCUCGGUGGCUGUAAAGGCCUUUCCACGCAAGCAGAGGAGGAAAGAUAGGAAACUGAUCGAGGAGGGGGAGUCCCCCCUGCAGCAACCCGGGGAGAGAGCAGAUGGGGGACCUCCAAAAAGGCCCCAGCCUGAGGAAAGGAAAUCCUCUCCGCUCGGGGCACCGGUCGGCCUUCCCAUCCGAUCUCCCUAAGAAAGUCCUCCGUAUCCCGGAACCUCAUCCUGAAGGAGCCCAAAGGCCACCGAGGUCAGCAGGGUGUCAGACGCUGCCCCUACCCCCACGCCCCACCUUCCACCUCGGCACUUUUCAAAGAGUAUUAGAAAUGGGCAAACUAUGACCUUCCAGCCACGGGCUAAGGAAAUUCCGGCCUCCGAUUUCUCCCCCUCUCGGCCCCAAGUCAAGGACGCACCAGGGUACUCUUCCUUCCCAGUCCCAGAAAAUUAGGUCUCGAGCCUCGCUCCAGCUUUGGAAAAGCAAAGUUCUGCCUGACUGAGAUCGACGACUGGGGGUGGGGUGGGUGGGGAAACUGAGCAGAAACGUUCAGAGAAAUUGUCCUGGCCGCUUCCGGAAAAGGCCGGCCCGGAGACUUACUCUUUAUUCGCCUUUUCCAAGAAAGUCUUUCAAGAAUUCUCUGAUUUUUUCGACUCGGAUUCCCAUUCCCCUUUGUCUCUCUCCGUCUUGCUUUCUUUUUCUUCUUUCUUUUCCUUUCAUUUUUCUCUCUUUUUUCACCUUUC
This is a long non-coding RNA of Sarcophilus harrisii (Tasmanian devil), 771 nucleotides long. RefSeq lists it as uncharacterized. NCBI's taxonomy places the organism in Eukaryota, Metazoa, Chordata, Mammalia, Dasyuromorphia, Dasyuridae. The transcript is spliced from 3 exons. The record is from RefSeq and is a predicted model, not a curated record.